This 452-nucleotide ribosomal RNA is filed under the name uncultured bacterium. Its description in RNAcentral is "bacterial SSU rRNA". It matches the Rfam family "Bacterial small subunit ribosomal RNA", at positions 8 to 507 of the family's 1533-position model. The record is from RNAcentral.
AGAGUUUGAUCAUGGCUCAGAGCGAACGCUGGCGGCAGGCCUAACACAUGCAAGUCGAACGGAUCCUUCGGGAUUAGUGGCGGACGGGUGAGUAACACGUGGGAACGUGCCUUUGGUUCGGAACAACUCAGGGAAACUUGAGCUAAUACCGAAUGUGCCCUUCGGGGGAAAGAUUUAUCGCCAUUAGAGCGGCCCGCGUCUGAUUAGCUAGUUGGUGGGGUAAAGGCUCACCAAGGCUACGAUCAGUAGCUGGUCUGAGAGGAUGAUCAGCCACAUUGGGACUGAGACACGGCCCAAACUCCUACGGGAGGCAGCAGUGGGGAAUCUUGCGCAAUGGGCGAAAGCCUGACGCAGCCAUGCCGCGUGAAUGAUGAAGGUCUUAGGAUUGUAAAAUUCUUUCACCGGGGACGAUAAUGACGGUACCCGGAGAAGAAGCCCCGGCUAACUUCGUG